GUGGGGAAUAUUGGACAAUGGGCGCAAGCCUGAUCCAGCAAUGCCGCGUGGGUGAAGAAGGUCUUCGGAUCGUAAAGCCCUUUCGACAGGGACGAUGAUGACGGUACCUGUAGAAGAAGCCCCGGCUAACUUCGUGCCAGCAGCCGCGGUAAUACGAAGGGGGCUAGCGUUACUCGGAAUUACUGGGCGUAAAGGGCGCGUAGGCGGCUCUGUUAGUCAGGCGUGAAAUUCCUGGGCGUAACCUGGGGACUGCGCUUGAUACUGCAGGGCUUGAGGCCGAGAGAGGGUGGUGGAAUUCCCAGUGUAGAGGUGAAAUUCGUAGAUAUUGGGAAGAACACCGGUGGCGAAGGCGACCACCUGGCUCGGUUCUGACGCUGAGGCGCGACAGCGUGGGGAGCAAACAGGAUUAGAUACCCCAGUAGUCC
RNAcentral lists this ribosomal RNA (425 nucleotides) under uncultured bacterium. Its description in RNAcentral is "partial 16S ribosomal RNA". It matches the Rfam family "Bacterial small subunit ribosomal RNA", at positions 354 to 796 of the family's 1533-position model. The record is from RNAcentral.